CUAGUUACAGGCUUAACACAUGCAAGUCGAGGGGCAUCAGGAAGAAAGCUUGCUUUCUUUGCUGGCGACCGGCGCACGGGUGAGUAACACGUAUCCAACCUGCCCUUUACUCGGGGAUAGCCUUUCGAAAGAAAGAUUAAUACCCGAUGGCAUAAUGAUUCCGCAUGGUUUCAUUAUUAAAGGAUUCCGGUAAAGGAUGGGGAUGCGUUCCAUUAGGUUGUUGGUGAGGUAACGGCUCACCAAGCCUUCGAUGGAUAGGGGUUCUGAGAGGAAGGUCCCCCACAUUGGAACUGAGACACGGUCCAAACUCCUACGGGAGGCAGCAGUGAGGAAUAUUGGUCAAUGGGCGCUAGCCUGAACCAGCCAAGUAGCGUGAAGGAUGAAGGCUCUAUGGGUCGUAAACUUCUUUUAUAUAAGAAUAAAGUGCAGUAUGUAUACUGUUUUGUAUGUAUUAUAUGAAUAAGGAUCGGCUAACUCCGUGCCAGCAGCCGCGGUAAUACGGAGGAUCCGAGCGUUAUCCGGAUUUAUUGGGUUUAAAGGGAGCGUAGGUGGACUGGUAAGUCAGUUGUGAAAGUUUGCGGCUCAACCGUAAAAUUGCAGUUGAUACUGUCAGUCUUGAGUACAGUAGAGGUGGGCGGAAUUCGUGGUGUAGCGGUGAAAUGCUUAGAUAUCACGAAGAACUCCGAUUGCGAAGGCAGCUCACUGGACUGCAACUGACACUGAUGCUCGAAAGUGUGGGUAUCAAACAGGAUUAGAUACCCUGGUAGUCCACACAGUAAACGAUGAAUACUCGCUGUUUGCGAUAUACAGUAAGCGGCCAGGCGAAAGCAUUAAGUAUUCCACCUGGGGAGUACGCCGGCAACGGUGAAACUCAAAGGAAUUGACGGGGGCCCGCACAAGCGGAGGAACAUGUGGUUUAAUUCGAUGAUACGCGAGGAACCUUACCCGGGCUUAAAUUGCAGUGGAAUGAUGUGGAAACAUGUCAGUGAGCAAUCACCGCUGUGAAGGUGCUGCAUGGUUGUCGUCAGCUCGUGCCGUGAGGUGUCGGCUUAAGUGCCAUAACGAGCGCAACCCUUAUCUUUAGUUACUAACAGGUUAUGCUGAGGACUCUAGAGAGACUGCCGUCGUAAGAUGUGAGGAAGGUGGGGAUGACGUCAAAUCAGCACGGCCCUUACAUCCGGGGCGACACACGUGUUACAAUGGUGGGGACAAAGGGCAGCUACACAGUGAUGUGAUGCUAAUCUCCAAACCCCAUCUCAGUUCGGAUCGAAGUCUGCAACCCGACUUCGUGAAGCUGGAUUCGCUAGUAAUCGCGCAUCAGCCAUGGCGCGGUGAAUACGUUCCCGGGCCUUGUACACACCGCCCGUCAAGCCAUGGGAGUUGGGGGUACCUAAAGUCCGUAACCGCAAGGAUCGUCCUAGGGUAAAACCGAUGACUGGG
This 1440-nucleotide ribosomal RNA is filed under the name uncultured organism. Its description in RNAcentral is "SSU rRNA". It matches the Rfam family "Bacterial small subunit ribosomal RNA". The record is from RNAcentral.